UACGGAGGGGCUGAGCGUUGUUCGGAAUUACUGGGCGUAAAGCGCACGUAGGCGGCUUUGUAAGUUAGAGGUGAAAGCCCAGGGCUUAACCCUGGAAUUGCCUUUAAGACUGCAUCGCUUGAAUUGUGGAGAGGUGAGUGGAAUUCCGAGUGUAGAGGUGAAAUUCGUAGAUAUUCGGAAGAACACCAGUGGCGCAAGGCGGACUCACUGGACACAUAUUGACGCUGAGGUGCGAAAGCGUGGAGCAACAGG
This 252-nucleotide ribosomal RNA is filed under the name uncultured bacterium. RNAcentral's name for it is "partial 16S ribosomal RNA". It matches the Rfam family "Bacterial small subunit ribosomal RNA", at positions 524 to 776 of the family's 1533-position model. The record is from RNAcentral.